GCUGCUUUCCACCCCCCAACUCCAGUAUUAUUGGAUGAGUUGAUUGAAAGAUACCCCUUAUCCUUCUUCAGACAAGCUCUCUUUCCCUGGUGUGGUUGCUGCUCUGAGUUAAGGGAACGGGAGAUGAUACUGACUAGAAAUUCAUCAGCCCCGGUGUUUACUACGUCCUAACCUCCGCCCCCACCCCAAGGCCACGACCGCUGUCUGCUAACCUGACGCCAAGCGCACCUUCCUGCGACUGCAGCGGCUGGAGGGCUCAAAACUACGUUUCCCAGAAUGCCUUGUGGCUGCGCAUGUGGCCGGAGGUUAGGUUCCACCAAUCAGGUGCCUCCGCGGGAAGCUUGAAUUUCUUACCGAAGUAAGCUGGGCGAGAGGCAGCCCGAAGGCCAGUGCAGAUCCCGGCGAGAGGCUGCGGCGGUGGAGCCGGCUGGCGGCUUCCUGAUCGCGCAGGAGGAGCAGCGGUUCCUGGACGGCCCUUUCUGAGCGCUGGAUUUGAGAAUGCCCUGGAGGCUCAGCCUAGAUUCUGUUUCUUCUGAGAGGCUCUGUGUCCCUUAAU
RNAcentral lists this long non-coding RNA (556 nucleotides) under Homo sapiens (human). Its description in RNAcentral is "HSALNT0260761". The record is from RNAcentral. Lineage: Eukaryota; Metazoa; Chordata; Mammalia; Primates; Hominidae.